Molecule: ribosomal RNA, 849 nt
Filed under: uncultured bacterium
Lineage: Bacteria
Description: bacterial SSU rRNA
Rfam family: Bacterial small subunit ribosomal RNA
Source: RNAcentral
GAUGAACGCUGGCGGCGUGGAUAAGGCAUGCAAGUCGUACGGGUCACCUUCGGGUGACUAGUGGCGAACGGGUUAGUAACACGUGGGUAAUGAACUCUAGAGAUGGGCAUAAUCCGUCGAAAGGCGGACUAACUCCCAAAGUCCCCUCACCAUAAUUUGGUGGGAGGUAAAGGAGAAAUCCGCUCUGGAAUCGGCCCGCGGCUUAUCAGCUAGUUGGUAGGGUAAUGGCCUACCAAGGCGAUGACGGGUAGGGGAUGUGAGAGCAUGUUCCCCAACACUAGCACUGCGACACGGGCUAGACUCCUACGGGAGGCAGCAGUCGAGAAUAUUGGACAAUGGGGGAAACCCUGAUCCAGCGACGCCGCGUGCUCGAAGAAGCCCUUCGGGGUGUAAAGAGCUUUUCUGGAGGAAGAAGUUUCGACUGACAGUACUUCAGGAAUAAGGGGGUGCUAAUCACGUGCCAGCAGCCGCGGUAAUACGUGACCCCCAAGCGUUAUCCGGAUUUAUUGGGCGUAAAGCGUCUGUAGGCGAUCUGGAAAGUCUCUGGUUAAAUACCAAGAGCUUAACUUUUGGGCUGCCAGAGAUACUUUCAGAAUAGAGGGCGUUAGAGGCUGAUGGAACGGUCGGUGUAGAGGUGAAAUUCGUUGAUAUCGACCGGAACACCAAAAGCGAAGGCAUUCAGCUGGGGCGACCCUGACGUUGAGAGACGAAAGCGUGGGGAGCAAAAAGGAUUAGAUACCCUUGUAGUCCACGCUGUAAACGAUGGACACUGGCUAUUUGAAGUGUCGACCCUUCAAGUGGCGAAGCUAACGCGUUAAGUGUCCCGCCUGGGAAGACGGCGGCAACGCU